MicroRNA precursor from Brassica oleracea var. oleracea, 126 nucleotides. It matches the Rfam family "MIR9563 microRNA precursor family". The record is from Rfam. Lineage: Eukaryota; Viridiplantae; Streptophyta; Magnoliopsida; Brassicales; Brassicaceae.
AGAAUAUAAGAACCCGUUUCUUACCUUCUAAUUAAAAAAAACUAAGAACCGGUUCUUAAAUAAGAUAUUUAAGAGCCAGUUCUUAAUUUUUUUUGUUAAAAAUUAAGAGACGGAUUCUUAUAUUCC